Molecule: ribosomal RNA, 551 nt
Filed under: uncultured bacterium
Lineage: Bacteria
Description: bacterial SSU rRNA
Rfam family: Bacterial small subunit ribosomal RNA
Source: RNAcentral
ACGGUACCGGAAGAAUAAGCACCGGCUAACUUCGUGCCAGCAGCCGCGGUAAUACGAAGGGUGCAAGCGUUACUCGGAAUUACUGGGCGUAAAGCGUGCGUAGGUGGUUCGUUAAGUCCGAUGUGAAAGCCCUGGGCUCAACCUGGGAAUGGCAUUGGAUACUGGCGGGCUAGAGUGCGGUAGAGGGUAGUGGAAUUCCCGGUGUAGCAGUGAAAUGCGUAGAGAUCGGGAGGAACAUCCGUGGCGAAGGCGACUACCUGGACCAGCACUGACACUGAGGCACGAAAGCGUGGGGAGCAAACAGGAUUAGAUACCCUGGUAGUCCACGCCCUAAACGAUGCGAACUGGAUGUUGGGCUCAACUUGGAGCUCAGUAUCGAAGCUAACGCGUUAAGUUCGCCGCCUGGGGAGUACGGUCGCAAGACUGAAACUCAAAGGAAUUGACGGGGGCCCGCACAAGCGGUGGAGUAUGUGGUUUAAUUCGAUGCAACGCGAAGAACCUUACCUGGCCUUGACAUGCACGGAACUUUCCAGAGAUGGAUUGGUGCCUUC